CCCUGCCACUACCCUUCAUGAAGACAAAUCCAAUAUCUGGGUUUUCUUCCCAUGAUUCAUACAGUCUCUUGAGCCGAGCCACCAUGGGACCAGUAAGAGCGUUGAGAGAAUAUGGUCUGUUGAGAAUGGCUGCUCUUGAUUUCGCUCUUCCUUCAACCAAAACCUGGUCCUGGAGAUUAUCAUUUUGGGCGUAGUCUGGGAAAGCAGAAAAGCCUCUCUGUGUAGAGAGAAACCCAGCACUGGAGUUGAAUGAAUACCUUAAUUUUAUUAAUUCUGUCAAUCUCUGCAUCUCUCUCUGUUUAGUGUUUGCUCUUCAAUGGAUGCUCUCUAAGCACGGAAAGAAGAAGAAGAGGAAGAAGAAGGAGAGGGCCGCCUGCCUCUG
Molecule: unclassified non-coding RNA, 382 nt
Filed under: Hevea brasiliensis (rubber tree)
Lineage: Eukaryota; Viridiplantae; Streptophyta; Magnoliopsida; Malpighiales; Euphorbiaceae
Source: RNAcentral